Molecule: ribosomal RNA, 253 nt
Filed under: uncultured bacterium
Lineage: Bacteria
Description: partial 16S ribosomal RNA
Rfam family: Bacterial small subunit ribosomal RNA
Source: RNAcentral
GACGAACCGAGCGAACGUUAUUCGGAAUCACUGGGCUUAAAGGGUGCGUAGGCGGGCUGUCAAGUCUGGGGUGAAAUCCCGCGGCUCAACCGUGGAACUGCCUUAGAUACUGAUGGCCUCGAGGGAGGUAGGGGCAUGCGGAACUGUAGGUGGAGCGGUGAAAUGCGCAGAUAUCAGGAGGAACACCGGUGGCGAAGGUGGUUCUCUGGGCAUGAUCUGACGCUGAGGAGCGAAAGUGUGGGGAGCGAACAGG